RNAcentral lists this ribosomal RNA (267 nucleotides) under uncultured bacterium. RNAcentral describes it as "partial 16S ribosomal RNA". It matches the Rfam family "Bacterial small subunit ribosomal RNA", at positions 86 to 354 of the family's 1533-position model. The record is from RNAcentral.
UUUAUCUUAGUGGCGGACGGGUGAGUAACGCGUGGGCAACCUGGCCUGUACAGGGGGAUAACACUUAGAAAUAGGUGCUAAUACCGCAUAACGGGGGAAGCCGCAUGGCUUUUCCCUGAAAACUCCGGUGGUACAGGAUGGGCCCGCGUCUGAUUAGCCAGUUGGCAGGGUAACGGCCUACCAAAGCGACGAUCAGUAGCCGGCCUGAGAGGGCGGACGGCCACACUGGGACUGAGACACGGCCCAGACUCCUACGGAAGGCAGCAG